UAAUUCCGUGCCAGCAGCCGCGGUAAUACGGAAGGUGCAAGCGUUAUCCGGUUUUAUUGGGUUUAAAGGGUGCGUAGGCGGCUUAUUAAGUCAGUUGUGAAAUCCUAGUGCUUAACGCUAGAACUGCGAUUGAUACUAUUAGGCUUGAGUUAAGAAGAGGUAGGCAGAAUUUAUGGUGUAGUAGUGAAAUGCUUAGAUAUCAUAAGGAAUACCAAUAGCGUAGGCAGCUUACUGGUCUUUAACUGACGCUGAGGCACGAAAGCGUGGGGAGCAAACAGGAUUAGAUACCCUGGUAGUCCACGCCGUAAACGAUGAUCACUCGAUAUACAUGAAACCUCAUGUGUGUCUAAG
This 351-nucleotide ribosomal RNA is filed under the name Cardinium endosymbiont of Tetranychus truncatus. RNAcentral describes it as "bacterial SSU rRNA". It matches the Rfam family "Bacterial small subunit ribosomal RNA", at positions 498 to 851 of the family's 1533-position model. The record is from RNAcentral. Lineage: Bacteria; Pseudomonadati; Bacteroidota; Cytophagia; Cytophagales; Amoebophilaceae.